AGAGUUUGAUCAUGGCUCAGGACGAACGCUGGCGGCGUGCUUAAUACAUGCAAGUCAAGGAGAACGUUUUCUUCGGAAAACUAUUAAACUGGCGAACGGGUGAGUAACACGUAGGCAACCUGCCUUGGAGAUGGGGAUAACCUCGGGAAACCGGGACUAAUACCGAAUAAUGCAGCGGCUUCUUUGGAAGAUGUUGUUAAAGCGGGCUUCGGCUCGCACUUCAAGAUGGGCCUGCGUCCGAUUAGCUUGUUGGUAGGGUAACGGCUUACCAAGGCGAUGAUCGGUAGCUGGUCUGAGAGGAUGAUCAGCCACACUGGGAUUGAGAUACGGCCCAGACUCCUACGGGAGGCAGCAGUAGGGAAUUUUGCGCAAUGGACGAAAGUCUGACGCAGCAACGCCGCGUGAUCGAUGAAGCUUCUAGGAGUGUAAAGAUCUGUCGUGAGGGAAGAAAAAUCUGGAUGUAAAUAAUGUUCAGACUUGACGGUACCUUACAAGAAAGCACCGGCUAACUUCGUGCCAGCC
RNAcentral lists this ribosomal RNA (522 nucleotides) under uncultured Fidelibacterota bacterium. RNAcentral describes it as "bacterial SSU rRNA". It matches the Rfam family "Bacterial small subunit ribosomal RNA", at positions 8 to 513 of the family's 1533-position model. Lineage: Bacteria; Pseudomonadati; Fidelibacterota. The record is from RNAcentral.